This 1202-nucleotide ribosomal RNA is filed under the name Enterococcus faecalis. RNAcentral describes it as "partial 23S ribosomal RNA". It matches the Rfam family "Bacterial large subunit ribosomal RNA", at positions 327 to 1530 of the family's 2925-position model. Lineage: Bacteria; Bacillati; Bacillota; Bacilli; Lactobacillales; Enterococcaceae. The record is from RNAcentral.
GUAUAGUUGAAGGAUUUGGAAAAUUCCGCUAAAGAGGGUGAAAGCCCCGUAGACGAAAUGCUAACAACACCUAGGAGGAUCCUGAGUACGGCGGAACACGAGAAAUUCCGUCGGAAUCCGCGGGGACCAUCCCGCAAGGCUAAAUACUCCCUAGUGACCGAUAGUGAACCAGUACCGUGAGGGAAAGGUGAAAAGCACCCCGGAAGGGGAGUGAAAUAGAUCCUGAAACCGUGUGCCUACAACAAGUCAAAGCUCGUUAAUGAGUGAUGGCGUGCCUUUUGUAGAAUGAACCGGCGAGUUACGAUUGCAUGCGAGGUUAAGUCGAAGAGACGGAGCCGCAGCGAAAGCGAGUCUGAAUAGGGCGAAUGAGUAUGUAGUCGUAGACCCGAAACCAUGUGAUCUACCCAUGUCCAGGUUGAAGGUGCGGUAAAACGCACUGGAGGACCGAACCCACGUACGUUGAAAAGUGCGGGGAUGAGGUGUGGGUAGCGGAGAAAUUCCAAACGAACUUGGAGAUAGCUGGUUCUCUCCGAAAUAGCUUUAGGGCUAGCCUCGGAAUUGAGAAUGAUGGAGGUAGAGCACUGUUUGGACUAGGGGCCCAUCUCGGGUUACCGAAUUCAGAUAAACUCCGAAUGCCAUUCAUUUAUAUCCGGGAGUCAGACUGCGAGUGAUAAGAUCCGUAGUCGAAAGGGAAACAGCCCAGACCACCAGCUAAGGUCCCAAAAUAUAUGUUAAGUGGAAAAGGAUGUGGGGUUGCACAGACAACUAGGAUGUUGGCUUAGAAGCAGCCACCAUUUAAAGAGUGCGUAAUAGCUCACUAGUCGAGUGACCCUGCGCCGAAAAUGUACCGGGGCUAAACAUAUUACCGAAGCUGUGGACUACACCAUUAGGUGUAGUGGUAGGAGAGCGUUCUAAGGGCGUUGAAGGUCGAUCGUGAGGACGGCUGGAGCGCUUAGAAGUGAGAAUGCCGGUAUGAGUAGCGAAAGACAGGUGAGAAUCCUGUCCACCGUAUGACUAAGGUUUCCUGGGGAAGGCUCGUCCGCCCAGGGUUAGUCGGGACCUAAGCCGAGGCCGAUAGGCGUAGGCGAUGGACAACAGGUUGAUAUUCCUGUACCAGUUGUUUUUGUUUGAGCAAUGGAGGGACGCAGUAGGCUAAGGAAUGCAUGCGAUUGGAAGUGCAUGUCCAAGCAAUGAGUCUUGAG